CGGCGGACGGGUGAGUAGCGCGUGGGUAACCUGCCCUAUACAGGGGGAUAACAGUUAGAAAUGAUUGCUAAUACCGCAUAAGCGCACGGAGCCGCAUGGCGCUGAGUGAAAAACGAUAGUGGUAUAGGAGGGACCCGCGUCUGAUUAGGUAGUUGGUGAGGUAACGGCCCACCAAGCCGACGAUCAGUAGCCGACCUGAGAGGGUGACCGGCCACAUUGGGACUGAGACACGGCCCAAACUCCUACGGAAGGCAGCAG
This 258-nucleotide ribosomal RNA is filed under the name uncultured bacterium. RNAcentral's name for it is "partial 16S ribosomal RNA". It matches the Rfam family "Bacterial small subunit ribosomal RNA", at positions 96 to 354 of the family's 1533-position model. The record is from RNAcentral.